AGUGGCAGACGGGUGAGUAACGCGUGGAAACGUGCCUUUCACUACGGAAUAGCUUUUGGAAACGAAAGGUAAUACCGUAUACGCCCUCCGGGGGAAAGAUUUAUCGGUGAAAGAUCGGUCCGCGUUAGAUUAGCUAGUUGGUGAGGUAAUGGCUCACCAAGGCUACGAUCUAUAGCUGGUCUGAGAGGAUGAUCAGCCACACUGGGACUGAGACACGGCCCAGACUCCUACGGGAGGCAGCAGUGGGGAAUAUUGCACAAUGGGCGCAAGCCUGAUGCAGCCGUGCCGCGUGAAUGAUGAAGGCCUUAGGGUUGUAAAAUUCUUUCGCCAGGGAUGAUAAUGACAGUACCUGGUAAAGAAGCCCCGGCUAACUUCGUGCCAGCAGCCGCGGUAAUACGAAGGGGGCUAGCGUUGUUCGGAAUUACUGGGCGUAAAGCGCACGUAGGCGGACUUUUAAGUCAGGUGUGAAAUCCCGGGGCUCAACCUCGGAACUGCAUUUGAAACUGGGAGUCUAGAGAUCAGGAGAGGUUAGUGGAAUACCGAGUGUAGAGGUGAAAUUCGUAGAUAUUCGGUGGAACACCAGUGGCGAAGGCGACUAACUGGACUGAUACUGACGCUNAGGUGCGAAAGUGUGGGGAGCAAACAGGAUUAGAUACCCUGGUAGUCCACACCGUAAACGAUGANUGCUAGUUGUCUGCAGGCAUGCCUGUANNUGACGCANCUNACGCAUUAAGCACUCCGCCNGGGGGAGUACGGCCGCANGGUUNAAACUCAAAU
This 777-nucleotide ribosomal RNA is filed under the name uncultured bacterium. Its description in RNAcentral is "bacterial SSU rRNA". It matches the Rfam family "Bacterial small subunit ribosomal RNA", at positions 94 to 906 of the family's 1533-position model. The record is from RNAcentral.